This 127-nucleotide small RNA is filed under the name Marmota monax (woodchuck). The record is from RNAcentral. Lineage: Eukaryota; Metazoa; Chordata; Mammalia; Rodentia; Sciuridae.
GCUGGGCACAGUGGCAUGUGCCUGUUGUCCCAGUGACUCAGGAGGCUGAGGCAAGAGGAUAGCAUUUUCAAGGCCAGCCUCAAUUAUUUAGUGAGGCCCUAAGAAACUUAGUGAGAUCAUGUUUCAA